Sarcophilus harrisii (Tasmanian devil) is the source of this 46-nucleotide non-coding RNA. The record is from Rfam. NCBI's taxonomy places the organism in Eukaryota, Metazoa, Chordata, Mammalia, Dasyuromorphia, Dasyuridae.
GAAUAGGCUUCAUUAGAAGCUAAUAAUAGUAAUAAUAAUAAUAACU